Non-coding RNA from Dialister sp. CAG:588, 346 nucleotides. It matches the Rfam family "transfer-messenger RNA". From Rfam's summary of the family: Bacterial tmRNA, also known as 10Sa RNA or SsrA, is named for its dual tRNA and mRNA-like properties. Its role is to liberate the mRNA from a stalled ribosome. Lineage: Bacteria; Bacillati; Bacillota; Negativicutes; Veillonellales; Veillonellaceae. The record is from Rfam.
GGGGACGUACUGGUUUCGACAGGGGUUACUGUAUCAUAGACAGCGAGCCGGGAUUCCAUCUUCCCGUAAAACGGUGGGAACACAUAAAAGCAAGAAAUAACUUUGCUUUAGCAGCUUAAUGUAAACUGCUUGCCUCUUUAGAAUUUUCCUGUGAUUUUAAACAGGCAUCAACUAACAGGAUACUGAUGAGAGACUUCCGGUAUCUCUGAGGGAAAUUCAACCGGUAUAGGUAAAGGUAGUUUGUUCCUGUACAAUACUUUACUGAAAAUUAAAACAGGAACUGCGCUCGGAGAGGUUUAUGGGGCGGGCCUUUUGGACAGGGGUUCAACUCCCCUCGUCUCCACCA